This is an RNA transcript of Seriola dumerili (greater amberjack), 7982 nucleotides long. It is a transcript of the gene named formin binding protein 1 like, with no coding region annotated. The transcript is spliced from 16 exons. NCBI's taxonomy places the organism in Eukaryota, Metazoa, Chordata, Actinopteri, Carangiformes, Carangidae. The record is from RefSeq and is a predicted model, not a curated record.
UCCCAGCGGCAGUUUCGGAGACUGUGUGGGGAAAACUGCGUCCAGUACGGGAGAACUCAGAAGGGGGAAUCCGACAUGAGUUGGGGAACGGAGCUCUGGGACCAGUUUGAGAAUCUGGACAAACACACUCAGUGGGGGAUCGAUUUUCUGGAGCGCUACGCGAAGUUUGUGAAGGAGAGACUGGACAUUGAGCAGAACUACGCCAAGCAGCUACGGAACCUGGUAAAGAAAUACUGUCCAAAACGCUCCAAGGAUGAGGAGCCGAGGUUCACAUCAUGUCUGUCGUUCUACUCCAUACUGAAUGAACUCAAUGACUAUGCUGGUCAGAGGGAGGUGGUGGCGGAGGACAUGGCUCACAAGGUGUAUGGAGAGCUGAUGAGGUACAGCCAAGACCUCAAAGCUGAGAGGAAGCAUCAUCUACAGGAGGGCAGGAAGGCCCAGCAGUAUUUGGAUCAUUGCUGGAAACAGAUGGACAAUAGUAAAAGGAAGUUUGAGAGAGAGUGUAAGGAAGCAGAGAAAUCCCAGGUGACCUACGACCGGUUAGAUAAUGACAUCAAUGCCACCAAAUCAGAAGUGGAGAAGGCCAAAGCCCAGUUCUACCUGCGGACUCACAUGGCUGAUGAGAGUAAGAACGAGUAUGCUGCUCAGCUCCAGAACUUCAACGCAGAGCAGUGGAAACAUUUCAACAACGCCAUACCACACAUCUUCAAGAAUCUGCAGGACAUGGACGAGCGUCGGACGGUGAAGCUCGGCGAGACGUACCGGAGCUUUGCUGAGGCGGAGCGCAGAGUCAUUCCCAUCAUCUCCAAAUGUCUAGAAGGAAUGGUUUCUGCUGCCAAAGCUGUCGACGAGCGAAGGGACUCAUCCAUUGUCGUGGAAUCAUUUAAGUCCGGCUUUGAUCCUCCGGGCGACUUCCCCUUCGAGGACUUCAGUCAGAACCUGAGCAGAACGGGUUCAGACGGGACCAUCAGCAACACACCCAAAGCAGACAGAGAUGGGGCCCCGGCACCACGGUCCGACCCAAAACACCCUAUGAGCAGAACCAAGAACAAGCUUUGGCUGUUUGGGAAGAAACCAAAGGCCCCAUCUUUGGAGGAUUUUAGUCACUUACCUCCUGAGCAGAGGAGGAAGCGGCUGCAGCAGAGGAUCGACGAACUCAGCAAAGAGCUCCAGAAAGAGAUGGAUCAGAGAGAUGCCCUGAACAAGAUGAAGGAUGUGUAUGAGAAAAAUCCACAGAUGGGAGACCCCAGCAGCCUGCAGCCUAAAAUAUCAGAGACCAUCUGUAACAUGGAGAAACUGCGCUCGGAAAUCCACAAAAAUGAGACUUGGUUGUCUGAGGUGGAGGGAAAGCAGAGCUCCAGAGGAGACAGAAGACACAGCGCUGACAACCACCAUCACACUCCUCAAGGCAGAGAAAGUCCUGAGGGAAGUUACACAGACGACACCAGUCAGGAGCAUCAAACGCCUCACCACCGCUCCAGUCCUCCACAGCCCGGACACCCGAACCCCGACCCUCACGAGUUUGACGAUGAAUUUGAUGACGACGACCCGCUGCCUGUCAUCGGACACUGCAAAGCGUUAUAUUCCUUUGACGGUCAGAACGAGGGGACACUGGUGAUGGCAGAAGAUGAGGUGUUGUACAUCAUCGAGCAGGAUAAAGGCGAUGGCUGGACGAGGGCGAGGAAGCAGAGCGGCGAGGAGGGCUACGUCCCCACCUCCUAUGUAGAAAUCACCCUGGAGAAAAACAGCAAAGGUGCCGUCACCUACAUCUGAAGCUACACUGUCUUCUGUCCUCUUCCUCCAUUCCUCUGUCAUUCUCUCCAUCUCUGCUUUCUGUUCCUCGACGUAACACCACGAAGGAAAAAGACGGCGUCUGAUCACCUGCAUGGACGUUCAUCCGUUUCCCUUCUCUGAUUUCCCUCCCAUCUCUUUAUCCGUCAGUCUGUUUUAUUAAUCAUUCGUCCUCAUCCUCCUCUCAUGUCUGUGGGACUGUUUCGGAGGUUCCUGAGGGCUGCAGGGUGGCCAGGCGAUUUGAUUGGCUGGUGGAGGGCUCACGCUGAUUGCUGAUUAUUGGUGGUGGGGGUGCCAGAGAAAGAGAGAGAGAGUGGGGGAAAGGGAGAGGUAGAGAGGGAAACAGAGGUGAAGUGGGCUGGGAGGCAGGUUUGCAUGUCUGCAUGCUCACAUAUCCAUGAUCAGCAAAGCAUUUUGGGGAACUAGAGGAAGAAGGGAGUGUCAUACUAUACGUAGAGGAGAUGAUCCCAAAACCAUAAACAGGCAGUAAUAUAAUUAAUAUCUUAAAGUAGGAUCCUAACUGGUACCCACAGGAGAAAUCCCACUCCGAACUUUAGGUUUCUGUCUUAAAAGCAGCAGAACAUGAAACUGAGAACACCUUUCAGAGCGGGAAGUGACAACUGCAACAACUUCAGCUAAACAUACACUCAGUUUCCCUUUUAUUUGGUACACCUAAGUUAAACAAAUAAAACAGUCAUGCAAUAAGGCGUACCUUCAUGACAGUUAGAAUCAAACAUAAACUUUUUGUGGAGAGAUGUUGACUCAACUUUUAAGAUCAUUGCGAAGCUGCAGUUUGUUGUGCUGACAGGUGUUUCUAAUAUUUUGUCCACCCCAUUUAUAUCAAUGAGGGUAGGCUAAAUAACAGAACACCGACAAAGGUAGAAAAACGGGAAGGACAGGAUGUAAUUCCCUCAUUUGAUGUCUUGCGCUUAUCAAGUACCAAUUUGGCAAAGAGCAGAAUCUAUCUGGUUGAUUUAUUUUGACAUGUAAAUUUUUUUUUUUUUUUCAUGAAAUAGACACGUACAAUUUCAAAGAAUACAUCUGUGUUAAAUGUGCGGAACUAAAAAUCAAAGUAAAAGCAGUCAAAUACACAACAGAACAAGCAGAACCAAAUCUACUUAAAGCUACAGAUAAUCACAAUUUACUCGCUGUCGUCCAUUGUUCCUGAAAUUGAAAUAUUUCUAGUUUUAUUUGAAUCUUGGUAAUUUAAUGUUGACUAAAUAUGUAACAUCAUUGAGACUGUCCAAUGUAUAAUCCUCCAUAAUGAUCGUACAGUUGAAUCAGCACCUCUCUGACACAUUUUCAACAAAAGCUGAACAUUAUAAACGUCAUGAAGGAGGGUUUAUUGCAGAGCUUUUGUAUUAGUAUUAGCAGUGUGUACCUAAUAAACUGCCAACAGAGUGUAUACUACAUACUUUUUUUUUUUGCAUCCAGCAACAACAAAUACAUUUCUUCCACAUUCCCUCUUCUCUGCUGCUGCUGUGUUAUGAAAAUGACCACGAGCAGCAACCUGCACCUUCCCAGCCUGUAAUGGCCUGAAGAGGUGGGCCUUCUCUGAUGGCCACACCUCUGACACGGGGUUGUUUCAGAGCGAAUCAUAGGGGAAAAACCUGAGGAUGUACUCUCUGUGGGUUCAAGCGUUCAGUGAUUGUGCUCUUUAAGCCACAUUCUGAGCAGUGAUGUUACAGGAGGUGUUUCUACCUGUUUCUACCACUGAUUGGGAUGCAGCUAAAAAUAAAACACGCACAUGUGGUUGAAAGCUUCAGCUCAUAGAGGGUAGUCCAGCAGCAGCCUUUCCUCUCUGAUUUGAUGUGGAUUUAUCCUUUUAAUGACGAUCGGUAGCAACCUCAUUGAUUCACUGUCUGCUUUGUGCUUUAAUGGGAUAGCUUGCCUUUUAAUAAGUUAGAGUAAGUCUUUUCUCUGUAGGUGCUGGCUGAAGUGUUGGGAGGUUGAAAUCUCUCUAAGUGGCUCCAAUUGAAGUUUAUUUUGUCUUGUCAAAUGAACGGGCGCCACCAUCCAUGAAACAGCAUUCUGACAAGAGUUUCUAAUCACAAGGUCAGCUUAUCUGGUGGAGAUGAUGGUGAUGACAUGAUAUCCCAGCAACUCUGUCCACCGAGGAAGGUCAUUAAUGUGGCUGAAAGCUUCAGAAACACCAAGCAAGUUGACCUUGUGAUGAGACCUCUGUCAAAAUUUCAAGCUCAUGAGCGAACCUGUCGUCUGACGUCUUCAAACUGUUGGUUUGCUUUUUAGUGAGGAUUUCUAAAUUCUCACUGGCCAGAAAUUAUUAGUAAAAUUUCUUCCACUUGCCAUAUUUCCUAAACCAGUCUCCCCGACACAUAAACUCCCCCCAUACUUUUAGUCCAGCUCCUGGUGAGAGAAAACCAGUUCAUUUUAAAAUUCAGAACAUCAGGGUUUAGUAACUUUCAGGCUCAGGUAUGCUUACAGUAUUUGCUGCCACUAACAUUAUCAGUGCUGCGCUGCUCCAACUCACUCCUGUUGUUGUCGUCGUCGUCGUCGUCAUCAUCAUUAUUAUGUGUUCUGUUGGUGAUGUCUGCCUGCCUGAGCCACUCUGCUCCUCAUGCCUGCCCUCACCCUCAUACAGUCGCAUGUUUUUAAUGUGUCGUUAUUGUCUCCCAAACAUGAUCAGGUGACUUUUACUGCAACUUUGUAAGUGUGUGUUCCGCUAUCUUCGGCUGUAUGCUUUAUGUUGAAUGCCAUACCAUCAUGAUUUUUCAUGGACUUUCAGCAUGAGUAUGAUUUAUUUGUUUGUUUAAUGUCUCCCAAACAGCAGCUGGGUAAAAUCAGAGCUACUCAUUAGGCAGAUAGCAGGACUAUCAGGUGAAAACAGGACCUCUCUUCCCCUGUCCUCCUUUCUUUUUCUUUUACUUUCCCCACCUUUCCUCUUCUCUCCCUUGGUUGUAAUUCCGCCAGUCGACCAGCAGAUGGCAGCCUUUCUUCAGCAAACCACCGCUCAGCUCGAGCUGGACUGGGCCUCUUUUAUCAACAUCAAACAAAUAAGAGGAGCUCUGGUGCCGUUGCGGUCAGACUCUGCCUUAAAACUUCAUGUUAUAUUACUGUGGAGGGGAGUCUUCCACAGAUACAUAUCUGGAUGUGUCUGCUCUUCAGCCUCAAUAUGUCUCCCAUCAGCCACCUGGGCUCACCCCUCGCAUCUGUGGAGGACUCAACUGCAUCUCCAUGAAAAGUUUUUUUUUUUCCCCCAUUUAAUCAGUCGUAUUUGUGAAUGUGACGACACACACGCAUGUAUCAACGUGUACGCACAGAUAUGGAAAGCCAAAAACGUCACAAUUUUUUCGUGUUUUGCUUUCCGUACACAUUUACAUGUACAUGUGUGUACACGUGUUACAUGCGUGACGUUAGUUUUUACCAUUGAAUGAUUUGUACAUAUUAACAUCUCUUAUGUCAUGCUGAAUGUGUUUCCAUGGUGACUGUUUUUAGGUUUGUCUGAUUGACACUCUUCAUGAUAGACAACAAGGUUUGAAUUGAACCGAUGCACUUUGCCCUUAAGUACUACAGCAUUUGAAUCUGAUUAAAUGAACAAGUGAAUAAAUGAAUGAACGAAUGACUGAAGGUCUGUGUUGUCUGCUGAGAGAGGUGUGAUCUUUUUAUGAAUGACCACUGUGUAGCAGCGAGAAACAAAAACGGCUCUAGUAACUUUCUCUUCUCAAAUGGUUUUUAUACCCUUUUUUUGUAACACUUGCUGAGCAAUGACCACAACUUCUUUUGCAUGAUUUUUCUAGAUUCUUUGAAUUCAUUUCGUCUCUCUGGCGAUUAUUUUUUAACCACUUGCUGUAUCUGGUCAACAGGCUAACAAAAUGACACGUCUCACACUUUCUCUUGAUGCUAUUUAAGACAAUAAAUGCCACUAACAACACUCAGUCAAGGUAAUCUGUGCAGCAAGUGGCCACGCCUUCACUGUAAUCUGUGUUUCUUCGAUGAAGCUGUGAAAUGUACAGAAUGAUGCUGUAGAUGUUGUUACUUGAACUUUUCCCUCCACACUACUCCACAUUUCCUCCACUGUCUGGGACAAAUUUGUAAUGGACAUUUAAAGGGGUGUUUCAGUGAUUUUUAGUAUUUCACCAAACAAAAAACGGUCAAAAUAGAAGCAGCAGAGGCCGAGAUGUCCUCUCUUUACACCCUAAUAUGGCUCAAACUCCAAAAAUGUUGCAUCCUUCAUUUCACAUAAUGCUGCAUAACAGUGUCUUUAAUUACAUCCUCCUUGCUUGGUAAAUGCCCAUGUCUUUUAAAGCUCCUUCAGAGCCACAGAAGGUAUUAUACAAUGGUUUUCACUGGCUGAGUAGCACAUAACCCUGAUGAGUACACUGUAUUUUCAUGUGUAAAAUUUGGUGGAGCACCCCUUUAAGAGUCCUUGUCCGCUGGUUUGGAUUUAAGAUGUUUGUGAUGCAAAAUGGCGCCUGAUGAUGAUGAUGUCUUGUAAACAAGUACAAAGAUCCAUCAAUGCUUUUUGUUUCAUGUAUGUAUCUGAUGUCAUGUAGGGCUCCAACUAACAAUUAUUUUCAUUAUUAAUUAAUCGAUAUAUCAUUGUCAUUGUCUAUACAUCAGAAAAAUUGUGAAAAAUACCCGCUAUAAUUUUCCAGAGCCUGGGGUGACAAUGUUCAGUUUACUUUCGUAUAUAACAAAUACAAAAAUAUAAACAUCACAUCCUCACAUGUAAGAAGCUGGAACCAGCAAACAUUUGGCACCCUUGCCUAUAAAACAACAAAUGAAGUAUUCAGUUAUCGAAACGGGUGCUGAUUAAUUUCUUAAUUUUCUGACAAUCGACUAACUGAUUAAUCGACUGAUCGUUGCAGCUCUCAUGUCUGGUUUUCCAAACAGGGACAAGCUGAUUCCCUGAAACUGAGCUGAAAGCACAUGUUUGUUGGAAACUAAGAUAUAAAAUGUGUGCAGUCAAGUGUUACAUAAAAGAUUUUCUAUUUGUUCCAGUAGUAAUGCGGUCAUACUGUUAAAUCUCAUUGAAGCAAUUAGGGCUGCAACUAUUUAUUUUUCAUUAUUGAUUUAUUUUGAUCGAUUAGUCAAUGAAAUAGCAAAUAAUGCCUAUCGAAACUUUUAGGAGCCCAAGGGGAUGUCUUCCAGUUGCUAGUUUUGUUCUAUAAACAGUCAAAAACCCAAAGAUGUUCAAUUAACAGUGAUAUGAAGAGAGAGGAAAAACAGCGAAUCAUUGCGUUUGAGAAGCUGGAACAAGUGAAUGUUUGGCAGCGAUUAACUUAUUAUCAGAAAGUAGAUAAACAGAAAUUUUUUCAGUACUAAAACCAUAACCCUGCUUAUUAUUGUAAUUGUAAAUCAUCCUCUGAUGGUGACGUGAGGAUAAACAGGAGGAUUUGCGUGAGUGAGUGUUUAUGUUGCUUUUUACAGGGCAUUUUUUAAACUCAUAGUGUAUCACGUAAAUUCUUAAAGAGACAGUAUGCUCUAAAUUUGACAUUUUCCUCUAAAGAUUUCUUUAAGUUGGCCUGUUUGGAGUGUACUGCCCCUUUAAUCAAAGCUGCAUGAAGUCAUUGGGGAUACAGCAGCUUUGAAAUGAACAAAAUAUACCAAAAGUCCUGUUAAUUAUUUUUACCGUUAAUAUACCUAUAGAAACUGUGAGCUGCGUAGUAUAAUAGCCACUGUGCUGUAAUCUUGAAUAUUAUGCAAAAAUACAUAAAAACAAAUCAGCUUUGAGAUGCUAAAUAUGAUCAAAUUUGCAGUUAAUUCAUGUACAAACAGUUCUUUACUGAAACCCGCCAAGCGACUGUGAGCGCGCUGCUGUUCAUCAUCCAGCAAAAAACCAGACGUGUUCUUCUUUACAUUCCUCCUCUUUUUAAACUCUGAUCGUCACGUGUGUCCUGUGGAAACUUUGUACCCCUGACAACCAUGAAGAUAUACUUUAUAUACCUUCUUGUUUUUCAUCAGCAUCAACACAAAUAUUCACAGUUAAUAAAAUCAGCAGCAGGUACAAGGUGCUUUAGCAGGAUAUUAACAUGUCAAAUCCAUGUAAAUCUGUGUGUUUUUACCAUGUUGUAUAUGUUUUAAUAACCAAUGGCAGUACUUUUCAAUAUUGUUGUGCACAUCUUUUUACUUUGAAUGUUGUCAGACACUUUGUGAACAAAAUGUUUUUUUUUUUCUUCUUCUUCUUCCAAGAUAUUGUUCUAAUAAAAUAAGCAGCAAUGAAAAGUUGA